CUGGGCGUCUGUCAUCUUUUUGCUGAGGUGCUGGGCGCCUUUCAUCUUUUCGCUGAUGUGCUGGGCGCCUGUCAUCCCUUUGCUGAAGUGAUGGGCGCCUGUCAUCCCUUUGCUGAAGUGAUGGGCGCCUUUCAUCCCUUUGCUGAAGUGCUGGGCGCCUGUCAUCCCUUUGCUGGAGUGCUGGCCGCCUGUCAUCUCUUUGCUGAAGUGCUGGGCGCCUAUCAUCUCUUUGCUGAGGUGCUGGGCGCCUGCUAUCUCUUUGCUGAAAUGUUGGGCGCCUAUCGUCCAAGGGACGUGCUAAAUUUCUAGCAGGUGGUGGUUUUAUCUGUUAGCAUCACAAAUUUCGAUCAGUAAAUUCUCGAAGGUUGAAAAGUUACAAAAAAUAAACAAAAAUCUCACCCUUACUCAACGAAAAUGAAACAGCCAAAAUAUAUUUACUUAAAAAACAGGACCCCUAGAAAAGAAAAU
This 468-nucleotide long non-coding RNA is filed under the name Capsicum annuum. RNAcentral's name for it is "long non-coding RNA (CANN_LNC007127)". The record is from RNAcentral. Lineage: Eukaryota; Viridiplantae; Streptophyta; Magnoliopsida; Solanales; Solanaceae.